This 255-nucleotide ribosomal RNA is filed under the name uncultured bacterium. RNAcentral's name for it is "partial 16S ribosomal RNA". It matches the Rfam family "Bacterial small subunit ribosomal RNA", at positions 524 to 776 of the family's 1533-position model. The record is from RNAcentral.
UACGUAGGGCGCGAGCGUUGUCCGGAAUUAUUGGGCGUAAAGAGCUCGUAGGCGGCUUGUUGCGUCUGCUGUGAAAUCCCGGGGCUUAACCCCGGGCGUGCAGUGGAUACGGGCAGGCUGGAGGCAGGCAGGGGAGAAUGGUAAUUCCCGGUGUAGCGGUGAAAUGCGCAGAUAGUCGGGAGGAACACCGGUGGCGAAGGCGGUUCUCUGGGCCUGUUCUGACGCUGAGGAGCGAAAGCGUGGGGAGCGAACAGG